This 11251-nucleotide long non-coding RNA is filed under the name Xyrichtys novacula (pearly razorfish). Lineage: Eukaryota; Metazoa; Chordata; Actinopteri; Labriformes; Labridae. The record is from RNAcentral.
GUCGGAGAAACAGUUUUGGCAUGAUUCGCCAUGACAGCAGGUGGCACUGUUGAUGCCGUUUAAGACCAUAGAUCUAUAUCAUAGAUACGGCCAGGAGGCCAGGACAGAGGACAGACCAAUCACUCGCCCUGGACCGCACGAAACCAAUGGCAGCAUGAGCAGCCAAGAGGUGAGUUUGGGGCCAUGGCUGAUGAAAUUUUUGAUUUUACUGACAUUUCCUCCGUGGAUAUAUGUAGUUUAUGGCACUGCUGGAGCUAACCUAUCAAGCUAACUUAACCUUAUAUAUGUUUUCUCACUAAAUACGUCUUGUUGGCCGCGUCAAUCGCCUCACAUGUUCAUGAAAUGGCUCAAACUGGAUCAGUUAGCCAGCGUCGCCUCGCUCUGUGACAUCCAUAGACUGUAUAGGUCAAUAUGAUAAACAUGGACGGAGCGGUUUCAACGCGAACUUGUCCCAAAGUGGCAGUGACUUGCUGAGAUGGCUUGACUAGGUAGCAAAUACGUAACAAAUACAUUGCUAGGUAGACUGAAAUAAUACAAUAUUGCCAAAUUGUUCGUCAUUAAAUGUCCAUUAUAGUAUGAACUGAUAACAUGACAUGCAGAGUCUUUCCUAUGGAUAUUUGAUACACACUUAAAUAAUCUUUUUAGGCUCCCACUUAGUACAUUGUAUUAACUUUUCUGUAAACUGGUUUCAUGCUCAUUAUUGAUGAACAAUAACAAUUCUUUAUUCGUGUUUGUAUGCAUGUGUUUGCAGAAGUCAGACUAUUCAAAUAUUGAGAAAGCAGCACAGAAUUUGCUGUCCCUAUUAUCAUCAGUCCAAGAGAAGGUUGAGGUUCCAGGCCAGAGCCAUAGCCCACAUCCCAGCCAGGGAUCUUGUCAGCCAAAUGUACCAAGACCAGCCAGUGUGCAACAGGAGAUGUCAAGGUUAGAAAAAGUGCAAUGUGGCAAUAAUAUAUAUAGUUUGUGGGCUGUUCAGUUUUUGUAUGACAUGCCUUUCAAUUUACUUUGCAGAUCUUUUCCUGCUCUUUUCCAACGACGACAGAAAUAUGGGAAAAGGCGAUUUCCAUCACCUUUUAAAAUAGUGUCGAAAGAGUCUACAAAGACCAUAAAUAUACAAUAUUAUCUUCUCCCUAAACCAAUGUCCAGAACCCCCCAGGGGUCUCAAGAACUAAGUCUGCUAAUGGCAGGCUUAGGGAAACGUCAGAUUGCAUUGCCUGAAAACAGCAACCAUGCAGAGGAAUGCAUUGAUAAAAUUAUGUACUAAAGAUGUAAUUUGGAGUGAUCAUUUCUUAUUAAGAAUUGCUCAUGGUUGGUUUUAUAUGGCCCUAAUAAGAUUUCAGAUAUGCUGCAGCAUAGAUUUCCCAAGUUGCAGACUUUGUCUGGUGGAUGGCUUUUUUACAAGGCAACUGGUAAGUGAACAAAAACGUCUGAGUUGCAUGAUUGAUAAGUACAGGCACAUUAGGUGCAUGAUUUAAUAAGUAUAAGUUAAAUAGGUAAAUGAUUAAAAAUAUAUUGUUCAAAAAUGUAUUGUUCUGUAAUGAGGUAAAUAUAAUAGCAAUUGGGAUAUGGCGCUCAAAAUUUGAAAUUUGAAAUCAUCACAUAAAGCAAACUAAACAUUAAAACAUUUCAGACACCAGGGGCCUCAUUUAUAAAACCUGGCGUAGGAUCCAUACUAAAAGUGUACGUAAGUUGAAAAGCUGAAAAGUGCGUAGGCAAAAAAAAAAUCUGAUUUAUAAAACCCUGCCUACGCACACCUGCACGCACUUUCCCUUUAUAAAUCACAGACCAGCUGGAAAGUUGCUCAGCAGGGAUUUGAUUCUUCCCCGCUCUCUCCACACCCAAAAUUCACCAUGUAUGGUCAUGCAAAUUACCUCAUGAAUGUGAUUUGCAUGUAGAUAAGCCUGGUGGAUCCACGGCAUUUCACGCUUAACCAUGGCAUCAGCAAGUCGUAGAAAAAGAAACUUUUCAGAGAUCGAGGUGAAGGUUCUUGUAAAUGAGGUGGCGGCGAGACGGGAGACCUUAUUCGGCGGCCAUUCGAGUGGCAUCACCAAUAAAAACGCCGUUGCCGUGGUGGCAAUUGCGGCUGGCACUGAGCGCAGCGUUGCCGAAAUAGUGUUGUUUUCGUAAUAUUUCGUCAAAUAUUUUCGUCAACACCAGCGUCAAAAAGAAAUAUUUUCAUCAACGAGAACAACACUGGUUGUUUUUGUUGACGGAAAUAUUUCCCUUUUCUUCCACGACGAAGACGUAACGUUGACGAGCUAAACAUAAGUCGGAGAUGACUAAAAUGUGACGAGACGAAAGUGCGUUUACGUUGAUGGGACGAGACGAAAAUGACGAACAGAGUUGCAAAACUCAGUCAGUUAAACGCUAAACAUAUAGGAGCAGCUUCUGUCCGCUCUGACAGCUCUCAUCAGCCUGCUCUGCUCCUCCAACACACAGACACACACGCACGCGCGCGCGCAAACACGUGGAGUUUUGUUUUCGUUGACGAUGACGUAGACGAAAACAAAACUGUGCCGAAAUCAAGAAGAAGUGGUCUGAUCUAAAGGUGGAGGCAAAGAAAAAAGUGGCUUUGCACCAUCAGAGCGUGGCGGCGACAGGUGAGAAUAAAAAAAAACAUGCACGUGUGACACUCGUGCAUGUGUUCAAAAAAAAAAAAAACUGCUCCGUUAUCCACCGCUGCUUAUGUGGUGAAAGUUCGUAAACCAAAAAGAUUUAGUCAUAUUAAUCUUAAAACAAAUGCAUGUAAAUGGAAUUUGUUUUUUUGCACAUUUGUAAAUUCAAAUUGGCAAACUAUCUACACCGCCACAGUGGGGUCUGUGCUUUCUGCGAGCAUCACUGCCUGGUACGGCAGCUGCAGCUCUCAGGACAGAAAGGCUGCAUCGAGUCAUCCGUUGUGCUGAACGCAUCACCCGGACUAUUCUCACCUUGCUCCGAUUGUCUCCAAAAAGUGCGUAAGCAAGGUGUGGAGUUUGCUUAAAGUUGCGCACAUUCCUACACUAGUUUUUCUUUUAUAAAUCCCAACUCUUGCGUAAGAAGUGGCAUACGCAAUUUCUAGCCAGGUUUUGUGCGUAAGCAAGCUUUAUAAAUGAGGCCCCAGGACAUUUAUUCAGUCAUUAACUCUCCAGGCUAGAAAAACUUUCCUUACUUUAACCCUUUUAAUUUAUCUCUUUCCCACUGUCCAAAAUGAUGAAGGUGGAAAUGGCCAGAGAAAGCUUACAUUGGUGCCGCCUGAGUCUGAAGGAUACAACUCAAAAUUGCUUAAGACUGCAUCCAACUCUGGAAGAAACAUGCUUUUCAUCAUUCCAAUACAAGAUGAAUAACAGGGCCUACGCCCGGCUGCUCUGCAGCUGGCUCGGGCCCUAAAUAGACACUACACCACUUCCUGCUGAUGCCCCUGAGUUCAGCAAAAUGCCAAAGUCACAAUGCAAGACCUGCGGAGAAAUAUUGCCAGUACUGGCUCUGCAUGUAGAAGGCUGCAGGAAAUCUUCAGCUGAGGAAGUUAAGUUUCUCUAUCAUCACACAAUACAGAGCUUAAGCCCUUGUUCUUGAAAUCGUUUUCAUUUACAGUGAAAUCUUUUUCAUUUACAGUAAUUGUAUAUCAAUACAGUGACAUCAUUGAUAUUGUUAACCUGGUCCACUUAACAGGAAAGCAAUGAAGUACUUGUUGGAGAUACAUUUUUUUUUAUUAACAAAACUAAAUGCAUUAGUUGUGAAUGAUGUUUUGCUUUUGCAAAUCACACUGAGUUUGUUUGUGAAUCAUUGGCGAUGAAUAAAACACAGUUUUUGUGUUUGUGAGGCUUUGGCACUAAUUAUAUACCAUAAUACUGUGACAUUUUUAUCAUACUAUACUUUAAUUUUUUUAAAUGCUAUUCCAUGACAUUUUAUAAUGUUAGAUUUUGAUUUCUUAACAUACUAUACUACUACAUUUUUUUUAUUUUACUGUACAAUGAUAUUUUCAUCAUAAUAUCAUUUUUUAACAGUGACAUUUUUUUCAUCGUAUACUUUGUUUUUUUAAGUACAAUGACAUUUUAUCAUGCUAAAUUAUGAUUUCUCAACAAAAUAUACUACAGUUUUUUUAUACUGCACAAUGAUAUUUUUAUCAUAACAUCCUAUGACAUUUUUUUAUCAUACUAUACUAUGACAUUUUUAUCAUACUAUACUUAAAAUAUUUUUAUCAUACUACACUAUAAGAAAUAUUAACAUACUAUACUAUGAUAUUUUAGCAUACUUUUAGAUUUUUUUUGUCAUACCGUCCUAUGACAUUUUUAUCAUACUAUACUAAGACAUUUUUAUCACAUGAUUCUGAUAUUUCUAUCAUGCUAUACUGUGAUAUUUUUAAACGUACAAUAAUAUGAAAUUUUAUAUACUACACCAUGACAUUUUUUAUCAUACUAUGCUAUGACAUUUUUUGACAUACUUUGCUAUGACACUUUUUAUUUUACUAUACAAUGUUUUUAUUUAUAUUACAUUAUAUAAUGACAUUUUUAUCACACUAUAAGAUGACAUUUUUUAACAUACUAUUCUAUGACCUUUUUUCAAAUACUAUGCUAUGUGAUUUUUUUGUCAUUCUACUCUAUGACUUUUUUUUAAACAUACUUUCCUAUGCAAUUUUUAUCAUUCAUUUCUAUGACAUUUAUUCAACAUACUAUAAUGACUUUUUUUAUCAUACUAUAAUAUUACAUUUUAAUAUUAUUAAAUAUUAUUCUAUGACCUUUUUUAACAUACUAUUCUAUGAACUUCUUUAAGACACUACACAAUGACAUUUUUUAUCACACUAUACUUUGACAUUUUUUAACAUACUAUACUAUGACAUUUUUUUUUUACAUUCUAUACCAUGACAAUUUUAACAUACUAUUGUUACAGCCUAGGUAGAGGCCUUAUCCUUGUUUUAACCCUUCCUUCUUGCUGGCUGAGUUCUGUGUUGCAGGUAUUGGGGGAGAAGCUUACAAUCACUGCAGCACACCUGAGCAGGCUGGAAUCAGGAGGCUAUAAAGCAGCCCUUCUCAAGGAGCUCACUCUCUCUCUCUCUCUCCAUGGCCUGCAGACUGCUUCAAUGUUUUGUAGCUUUGCCUUGCUGACUCACACACAUACAAUCACAGACAUCCAACACCACAGGCACACUGACAACCAUAGUUAAAUAUUCUUAUAAAAAUUCUUUCCUUAAAUUUUAUCUUAACUUUGCAACCAUGUGCAGUCUCCCUCUUUGUCACACACACUUGAGCCUGGUUGUGACACUAUACUAUGACAUUUUUUUUAACAUUCUAUACUGUGACAUUUUUUAACAUACUAAAUUGUGGCAUUUUUUUUUAACAUACUAUCCUAUGACAUUUUUUAUCAUACUUAACUAUGAGAUUUAUUAACAUACUAUAUGGACAUUUUUUAUCAUUCUAUACUAUGACAUUUUUUUUAAUCAUACUAUUGGGGAGAGUGGGUUAAGAUGAAUUAUUUUUCAUAUUUCGGAUCACUACAUCAAGGAAAUCAUGGUUUUGUCUCUUACUAGUAUAUCUGCAUAUUUUUCAAGAUGUUUUGCAUCUCUGCAAACCAACAGAAUUUAUUAAGAAUUAACUGCCUUGAUAAUAUAGCAUAUCAAAAAAUAGUGGUCUCCUAUGGUCAACUUACCCCGUGUAUGGGGUAAGUUGACCAUAGGAGCGGGAUAAAUUGAACAUUUUUUUCAUACUUUAAUAUAAUAUUUUAUCAUAAAAUAAAAAAAUUAAACUACAUAAUGACAUUUUUGUUAUACUAUUAUAUGGCAUUUUAAUAAUACUAUACCAUGACACAUUUAUACUAUGAUUUUUUUUAUCAUACUAAUUUUCAGUUAAACUAUUCUAUGACAUUUUAUCGUACUAUACUAUUAAUUUUAUUUUUAUAAUACUAUACAAAUAUUUUCACAUACUACACAAUGGUUUUUUUAUAAUAAUUAAGUAGGAUUAUUUUUCAUACUUGAAUAUCUAUCUAUCUAUAUCGCCCUAUACUUUUAUAUUUUAUAAUACUUAUCCAUGAUUUUUUAACAUACUAUACUAUGAUAUUUUUUAUCAUACUUUACUAUUUUCAUUUUAUUAUACUAUAUCAAGAUAUUUUAAUCAUAGUUUACUUUGAUAUAUUCAUGAUGCUUUACAAUCAUUAUUAUUUCUUAUCAUUCUAUACCAUGAUACUUUUAUCAGACUAUACUAUGACAUUUUAAAUACUCCCUGCAGGGAGUUUGACCAGUUUGUCUCUGACCUCAGACACGAGAAAGCGUAGAAUCACCUACUCCAGGGUUUCAUGAUGUGUGAAGUGAGGGCCACUGGUCAGUAGUUUUUGGUACUGGCACAAUGCAGGAUGUUUUCCACAGAGUAGGUACCCGCCCCAGCUGUAGACUCAGGUUGAAGAUCUUGUGGAGAGGUUGACACAGUUCUGCAGCACAGUCUCUAAGCAGCCUUGAACACAUACCAUCUGGACCAGCUGCCUUCCCAGGACAAAGUCUACCAAGCUCCAUCCUUACCCCUGUUUCAGUGACAGACAAGGACUGGUGUUCUAGGAGGGAGGCAGUUGAAAUAGUUGAAACAUUUGAACAAGAUAGAGGAGGAAGGGGAGAAGUUGUAGUGGAGAUUUGUUGCAGAAAGGAAGGUGGAGUAGCAGUGGAAGUGGGUGUGAUAGCAGUGUCAAAUCUGUUGAAGAACAGGUUGAGUUCAUCAGCUCUUACCACAUCACCCACCACUGGCUGUCUUUUCUUUUUAUUGCUGUGUCCAGAGAUGGUACUGAUUCCUCUCCACACUUCAUGGAUGUCGCUGUGUCGUAGAUUCUUGUCUAUCUUCUUUUUGUACUCCAGCUUUGCUAUCUUCAGUCUCCUCUUUAACUCUUGUUGCACUUGUUUGAGUCGUUCUCUGUCACCAUCUUUAAAAGCUUUCUUUUUCUGGUUAAGGAUUGCUUUUAUGUCACUUGUGAUCCAGGGUUUGUUGUUGGGGAAACAGCGAACAGUGAUACUUAUCUGGGAUUUUUAAUACACCUUUCAUUUUAAUUUAUUGUGAUAUUGCUUUCAAAUCAUACUUUGACAAUUUUAUAUUUUUGUUAUUUUAUUUUUUCUUUUAUAUCUUUUUUUAAAUUAGAAUUUGACAUUUUAUAAUGCUAUAUAUAAUCUUUUUAUACAAUUAUAUAAAAUUCCCAACAUACUAGAUUAUGAUAUUUUUAAUACUUAAUAAUUUUUUAACUUAAUAUCAUAUGAUAUUUUUAUCAUCCUAUAAAAUGGCAUUUAAAUCAUACUUUACUAUGAUUUUUUUUAACAUUCUUAAUUAUGACAUUUUUUUCGUACUACAAUCUAAUAUUACAUUACAAUGACAAAUAGUUUUUUCAAACUAUAUUACGAAAUUUUAAUCCUCAUUUUUAUCAUACUAUACUAUACUUUACUAAUAUUUUCACAUAGUAUACAAUGAUAUUUUUAUCAUAAUUAACUAGGAUAAUUUUUCAUACUUGAAUAUUACAUCUUUAUCACACUAUACUUUGAUAUUUUAUGAUACUUAUAUAUGAUUUUUUAUCAUACUAUAAUAUGACAUUUUUAUCACACUUCACUGUCAUUUUUAUCAUACUAUAUCAAAAUAUUUUUUCGUAGUUUACUUUGAUAUAUUUAUCAUGCUUUACUAUGAUUUUUUUAUUAUACAAUACCAAGACAUUCUUUAUACCAUAAGAUACCAUCAUUCUAUACCAUGAUACUUUUAUCAUACUCUGCUAUGACAUUUUUAUUAUACAUUACUAUGACAUUUUUAUCGUUCUAUACUAUGACAUUUUUAUCAAACUAUACUGUGACUAUUUUUUCCUUCUUUAAUAUGAUAUCUUUAUCACACUGUACUUUGACGUUUUUACGGUACUAUACUAGGAUGUUUUUAUCAGUUAGUUGUUCAAAACAUCUUGCAAUGCAAAAUCUUGGACACAUCAUCAGUGAUAGUACCUGGGGUCACGGGGGUCACGGGGGUUUCGGGUCUUUCAACUUCAGACCCCCUCACCCAGGCGACCUGACCGAGAGUGAUCAGUUCCCGGCCUGUGUCCAAGAAGCGCUCAUCCACGCCUUAUCCCUCUGAAUCCACAGCCAUCGUGAUGCUUUCUCAGCUGGUUCUGAAGCUGAGCAGAUGGCUCUCCUCUUAUGUGCCCCUGUGAUGCCUAGGAGACUGUAGGCCCUGCAGAGUGACCCCCCUGCAAAGCCCCUUCCCCCGACCUCAAUGGGCAGGCGUCUUGCACGCCACCCCCUGUUGCGGCAGUCCUCCACCAGCUCGGCAUACUUCUCCCUCUUCCUCCCGCUGGCUUCCUCCAUCCUCUGCUCCCAGGGCACUGUCAGCUCCAACAUGAUGACCUGCUUGGAAGACUCUGAUUGUAGGACUAUGUCUGGUCUCAGGCUGGUUUCCGUGAUAUUCUCAGGGAACUUAAGCUGUUUUCCUAAGUCCACCCUCAGCUGCCAGUCCUUUGCUGUUCCCAGAAGUCCUGUUUGGGCCUUUGGUUGGGGAGGAGGUUUUUCCCCAGCCCUCACAAAUGCUGUUCUGUGCCUCAGUGGUUGCAGGUGCUUGCUGUGGUCAAUGGCAGAGUGGAUGGACUCAGCAACUGCCUUCAGCACCUGGUCGUGGCGCCAGCGAUAGCAGCCAUCUCCAAGUGCCUUAGGACAGCUGCUGAGGAUGUGCUCUAGUGUUCCCCUUCCCUGGCACAAGGUACAUGAUGGAGCUUCAGCCUUGCCCCAAAGGAAGAGGUUUGACGGGCUAGGCAGGACAUCAUAGACAGACUGGAUGAGGAAUUUUAUGUGGAGCGGUGUAGCCUUCCACAACUCCGACCAUGAGAUCCUUCUGUCCAUGGCUUCCUCCCAUCUGAUCCACGCGCCCUGCUGCCUUAGCCCCACCCACCGGCUUGCACGCUGCUCUUCGACUCCAGCCCACACCUCGAGUUGGACCCGGUCCCGCCUUUCCUUGCCCUUGAGCCUGCUGAGGUGGGUUGUUUGUACAGUCUCCAGUCCUGCUCGACCGGUAGCCACAGAUCCCACAAGCUCUUUGUGGGACAGCCGACCUUCUGCCUGUCCUCACCUCUAUGCCAGCUUGAGCAACCUUUGGGUCCUUCGAUUCCCUGUAAUGGAGAACCUUCCUUGCUCUGGCAACCAUAAACUCCUCGGUGAGGCUGUUGAUUGGUAGGGUCAGCUUGUUGUCAUAGCUGUAGAGGGCGAUGCUGCUGAGACUCAGAGGAAGCCCCAACCAGCGCCGGAGUUGGCUGCUGACCCUCCGCUCAAACCCUUCCACGGUGGACAUGGGAAAUUCAUAUACCAGCAAUGGCCACAGUAUCCUGGGCAGGAUGCCAUGUUGCUACACCCAUGCCUUGAACUUCCCCAGGAGACCAGAUUUGUCCACUGCAGUUAGCCAGCCUUCCAGUUGUUCGUUGGUAGCCCGAAUGGAAGCUGUAUCCCUCAGGGAGCAGUCGAAGAUCUCCCCCAGGCUUUUAACAGGCUUCUCUGUGACUGAUGGGAUCUAAGAGCCUCCUAGGAAGAAGCUGAACCGGUCGGUCACCUUCCCUCCCUUCAGGAGACAUUUUUACGGUACUAUACUAGGACAUUUUUAUCACACUAUAUCAUAAUAUUUUUUCAUGGUUCACUUUGAUAUAUUUAUCAUGAUUUUUUUAUUAUACUAUACCAAGACAUUCUUAUCAUUCUAUACCAUGAUACUUUUAUCAUACUCUACUAUGACAUUUUUAUUAAACUAUACUGUGACUUUUUUUCCUUUUUUAAUAUAUCUUUAUCAUACUGUACUUUGACAUUUUUAUGGUACUGUACUAUGACAUUUUUAUCAUGCAGCACUAUGAUAUUUUUACAUAUUAUACAAUGAUAUUUUUAUCACACUUAACUACGAUUUUAUUUUCUUACUAUACUGAUAUUUCAUCAUACCAUACUGUAUUUUAACAUACUAUAUUAUGACAUUUUAUAAUAUAAAAUAUAUAAUAUAUAAUUUUUUAAUACACUAUACUAUGAUCUUUUUGUCAUACUCAACUAGGAUUAAUUUUGUUAUACUUUACUGUUAUACAUUUUUUAAAAUUUACUAUUACACUUUGUAAUACUAUACUAUGAUAUUUUUAUCAUACCUAACUACAAUUUUUUUUUAACAUACUUUACUAUGGCUGUAAUGAUUAAAAAUGCAAAUCUGAUCCUGGUCUUAUGAAAUACCAAUAAUCUGUCUGCCCAGAAUGGCCCAGUUUGGUCGACUUGCCACACACCUGGUCACACCUCUGACGGAGCACCACGCUCCUAUUAGGUUAGGAAAGAUGGAGGAUAGAGUGAAGCUUGGCGCAUCAUUUCCACCUGAAUCUAACCGCUCACAUGUUUAAAAAAGGUAAAUGUUUUUUUUAAAAAGUGCUGCGUAUCUCCAGAAAAUCAAACCAAUCGCAUGGUUUCAGCGUGGAGGACUGGACGUGCUGACCAAAGAGGGAAAAUCUGCAAAAACAACUGGAAAAACAAAGUCCCUGCGGCCUUCUCUGAGAAACCAAAACAUCCUGGGAUCAGAACAUCUGACUUUCACAUCAUCCCUCUCUCACUGUCUUUGCUGUUUUUCUGUUUCCUCUUUGUUUCUAUUUUUGGCUGUAGAACAAAAGGCGAAAGUCCCAUGAUGCACUAAUCUAAAAAACACUCUCUUUUUAAAAUAUUUGCACCGUGUGAUGGCCAAAAAACAUGUCAUGUGGAUAAAUCGAGGAAGAUUUCUCAGCAGAAAAGUCUAUUUUCAGAGCUGCCGGGGUGAGAAAGGAAAUGUAAGCGCUUUUACUUUCUCUGUUUUUCUGGUUAUUUGAAGGCUUGGGCUGUCAGAAUGAAACAAACACUUCUACUUUUCAGCAGCAGGUUCAAACCACCAGCAUCAUGAGUCAGUGCUGAACAGAGGAGCUUUGUUUGAGAAUAAUCAGAAUAAUCAUCAUAAUAAUCAUGCUGGUGUUAUGGACUUAACAUUGCAUGCCUCUAAAUAAAGACAGAAGUACUGAUGGGCUUUGUUUGCUGCAGAAAAAGCCUCCUGGCCAUACUUAUUGUUUACUGUGAUGCACAAACAGGGUCCAUGAAAAUAGUACUUUGUGCAACGUUCAUGUCGACUUGGUCAUGGGAAUUGGUUCAUGCAAAAAAAAAAAAAAAAAAAAAAAAAAGGAAAAAAGCAUCAUGUGAGAGCUGUGAGGGAAAUUACUGUGUGGGAAAUUUAGCUCCUGAUAAUCAGCAGCAUGUCUGAGCCUUUUAUUUCCUCAUCGUGAAACACGUUUGGGUCAAAAUACAGUAUUUUCC